AUGUUGAAAAAUUAGCGGAUGACCUGUGGCUGGGGGUGAAAGGCCAAUCAAACCGGGAGAUAGCUGGUUCUCCCCGAAAGCUAUUUAGGUAGCGCCUCGUGAAUUCAUCUCCGGGGGUAGAGCACUGUUUCGGCUAGGGGGCCAUCCCGGCUUACCAACCCGAUGCAAACUGCGAAUACCGGAGAAUGUUAUCACGGGAGACACACGGCGGGUGCUAACGUCCGUCGUGAAGAGGGAAACAACCCAGACCGCCAGCUAAGGUCCCAAAGUCAUGGUUAAGUGGGAAACGAUGUGGGAAGGCCCAGACAGCCAGGAUGUUGGCUUAGAAGCAGCCAUCAUUUAAAGAAAGCGUAAUAGCUCACUGGUCGAGUCGGCCUGCGCGGAAGAUGUAACGGGGCUAAACCAUGCACCGAAGCUGCGGCAGCGAACGUAUCACUUAAAGCGAUUCAGCGGGUUACGAUUGACGGAGCGAAGCGACGUCAAAGCGUAUACAAAGUCGAGUCGGUUUAAGGAUACGUUCGUUGGGUAGGGGAGCGUUCUGUAAGCCUGUGAAGGUGUGUCGUGAGGCAUGCUGGAGGUAUCAGAAGUGCGAAUGCUGACAUAAGUAACGAUAAAGCGGGUGAAAAGCCCGCUCGCCGGAAGACCAAGGGUUCCUGUCCAACGUUAAUCGGGGCAGGGUGAGUCGACCCCUAAGGCGAGGCCGAAAGGCGUAGUCGAUGGGAAACGGGUUAAUAUUCCCGUACUUGGUGUUACUGCGAAGGGGGGACGGAGAAGGCUAUGUUGGCCGGGCGACGGUUGUCCCGGUUUAAGCGUGUAGGUGUGUGUUCCAGGUAAAUCCGGUUCACUUUAACACUGAGGCGUGAUGACGAGGCACUACGGUGCUGAAGCAACAAAUGCCCUGCUUCCAGGAAAAGCCUCUAAGCAUCAGGUAACAUCAAAUCGUACCCCAAACCGACACAGGUGGUCAGGUAGAGAAUACCAAGGCGCUUGAGAGAACUCGGGUGAAGGAACUAGGCAAAAUGGUGCCGUAACUUCGGGAGAAGGCACGCUGACAUGUAGGUGAAGUGAUUUACUCA
This 1076-nucleotide ribosomal RNA is filed under the name Salmonella enterica subsp. enterica serovar Enteritidis. RNAcentral describes it as "partial 23S ribosomal RNA". It matches the Rfam family "Bacterial large subunit ribosomal RNA", at positions 786 to 1773 of the family's 2925-position model. The record is from RNAcentral. Lineage: Bacteria; Pseudomonadati; Pseudomonadota; Gammaproteobacteria; Enterobacterales; Enterobacteriaceae.